Small nucleolar RNA from Cylas formicarius (sweet potato weevil), 136 nucleotides. RefSeq annotates it as small nucleolar RNA SNORA53. The transcript has a single exon. NCBI's taxonomy places the organism in Eukaryota, Metazoa, Arthropoda, Insecta, Coleoptera, Brentidae. The record is from RefSeq and is a predicted model, not a curated record.
UGCACGCUGCUUAGAUCCAUCUCGGACGACAUAAGAGAUGCUUGAGUCAUUAGUGUGCUACAUAAGAACACCUCCACCAAAGCUAAUUUCGUUAAUAUACAUUAAUAUUUACUUUCAAGCAUUUGGUGGGGAACAA